UGGAGUAUGGAAAACAUCCACUGUUAGGGUUCCCUGAGGACUGGAGUUGUGAAACACUGACAUAGAAGGAUAGUAGAGUUACAUAGAGAGGACAAGGAGUUAUUCAUUGGGAAUGCAAGAAAGACUGUUUCACCAUGAGCAUACUGUGGGAAGGAUUCUUUAAUAAACAGUACAUGUGAUCAGACGAAGAAGGGAAAAGUAUUUGGAGGAUUUCAAAGCACAUCUUACUAAGACAAUAGGACUAUCGUAGGACAAUCAUUGCCGCUUUUCGAUCUUACCCUUUCCAAUUAAAUAAAAUGUACUCUU
Molecule: long non-coding RNA, 306 nt
Organism: Pseudophryne corroboree (corroboree frog)
Lineage: Eukaryota; Metazoa; Chordata; Amphibia; Anura; Myobatrachidae
Exons: 2
Source: RefSeq, a predicted model, not a curated record